CGGUAACAGGGGGAGCUUGCUCCCCGCUGACGAGCGGCGGACGGGUGAGUAAUGCAUAGGAAACUGCCCAGUAGUGGGGGAUAGCCCGGGGAAACCCGGAUUAAUACCGCAUACGCCCUUUGGGGGAAAGCAGGGGAUCUUCGGACCUUGCGCUAUUGGAUGUGCCUAUGUCGGAUUAGCUAGUUGGUGGGGUAAGAGCCUACCAAGGCGACGAUCCGUAGCUGGUCUGAGAGGAUGAUCAGCCACAUCGGGACUGAGACACGGCCCGAACUCCUACGGGAGGCAGCAGUGGGGAAUAUUGGACAAUGGGGGCAACCCUGAUCCAGCCAUGCCGCGUGUGUGAAGAAGGCUUUCGGGUUGUAAAGCACUUUCAGUGAGGAGGAAAACCUUAAGUUUAAUACGCUUGAGGCUUGACGUUACUCACAGAAGAAGCACCGGCUAACUCCGUGCCAGCAGCCGCGGUAAUACGGAGGGUGCAAGCGUUAAUCGGAAUUACUGGGCGUAAAGCGCGCGUAGGUGGUUUGAUAAGCGAGAUGUGAAAGCCCCGGGCUCAACCUGGGAACGGCAUUUCGAACUGUCAGGCUAGAGUAUGGUAGAGGAGUGUGGAAUUUCCUGUGUAGCGGUGAAAUGCGUAGAUAUAGGAAGGAACACCA
This 653-nucleotide ribosomal RNA is filed under the name Marinobacter sp. RNAcentral describes it as "bacterial SSU rRNA". It matches the Rfam family "Bacterial small subunit ribosomal RNA", at positions 67 to 711 of the family's 1533-position model. The record is from RNAcentral. Lineage: Bacteria; Pseudomonadati; Pseudomonadota; Gammaproteobacteria; Pseudomonadales; Marinobacteraceae.